This 69-nucleotide transfer RNA is filed under the name Bradypodion pumilum. RNAcentral's name for it is "tRNA-His". It matches the Rfam family "tRNA". Rfam says of the family: Transfer RNA (tRNA) molecules are approximately 80 nucleotides in length. Their secondary structure includes four short double-helical elements and three loops (D, anti-codon, and T loops). Further hydrogen bonds mediate the characteristic L-shaped molecular structure. tRNAs have two regions of fundamental functional importance: the anti-codon, which is responsible for specific mRNA codon recognition, and the 3' end, to which the tRNAs corresponding amino acid is attached (by aminoacyl-tRNA synthetases). tRNAs cope with the degeneracy of the genetic code in two manners: having more than one tRNA (with a specific anti-codon) for a particular amino acid; and 'wobble' base-pairing, i.e. permitting non-standard base-pairing at the 3rd anti-codon position. Lineage: Eukaryota; Metazoa; Chordata; Lepidosauria; Squamata; Chamaeleonidae. The record is from RNAcentral.
GCUGCGAUAGUUUACUAAAACAUUAGCCUGUGAAGCUAAAAAUGGAAUUAUCCCCUUUUCCCCGCAGCC